GACCUCGGCCCCGGUGGAAGUUAUCGGGUGGCAGCAGAGUUGGAAUGGGAUAGGUAGUUCCCCGUUUCCAGGACCCCAGACGGCCUGCUGGGACAGUGUAUAUGAGUCCGGAAUGGGCUGGACCAGGGUCAGGCUAGCCCAGACUUCAGGUACGGGCUGUGAUGACGAGGAGUGGGCUAGUCUCCCGGGUCGGUCACCGCUGAACUCUCAGGUUGCUGCAAAGGCCAUUAUUUUGUUCCUUUUUCUGGCUGAGUCAUAUUCCAUGAGACAAUCAAGCUUUCGAUGAUCAUGUGAUGAGGUUUCCAGUCAGUUCCAGGUGAAGACACCACUGGCCAUCAAGAAGCUACCCUCUCCCCACCAGACAGAGCAGGAUGAGAGUUCUAUAAUCCUCAAUAGGAGGAAGCACUCAAUUGAACAAGUGCAGGAACCAGCUGGCUGCCUCAGCACUGACAGAAGCAAAUUCCAUUUGCUUGGACCCACUGCAUUCCAUCCCUUGUGGAAGAGAGCAUGUAAGCAAGACAGGACCUUCAGGCCUCUGAAAAAAAAAGGAUCAAAGAACUGAAACUCACCAGAUCACCUCACCAGAUGCUGGACCCCUCAUUCACCAUGUUUGCUUCCUUGCCUCUCCCUAGUUCUUAUUUUCUUACACAUUGUUACAUUUCUUCCCUGCUAUAUCAACCCCUAGUUCUAGUCAGUCAUGGAGAUGGAUUUGAGACUGAUCUCCCAUCCCCUCAGCUACACCACCUGAUUAAAGCCUUCUUCCUUGGCAA
RNAcentral lists this long non-coding RNA (770 nucleotides) under Homo sapiens (human). RNAcentral describes it as "novel transcript". The record is from RNAcentral. Lineage: Eukaryota; Metazoa; Chordata; Mammalia; Primates; Hominidae.